This 76-nucleotide transfer RNA is filed under the name Gammaproteobacteria bacterium. RNAcentral's name for it is "tRNA-His". It matches the Rfam family "tRNA". Rfam says of the family: Transfer RNA (tRNA) molecules are approximately 80 nucleotides in length. Lineage: Bacteria; Pseudomonadati; Pseudomonadota; Gammaproteobacteria. The record is from RNAcentral.
GUGAGCGUAGCUCAGUUGGUAGAGCCCUGGGUUGUGAUCCCGGUGGUCGUGGGUUCGAGUCCCAUCGCUCACCCCA